This is a long non-coding RNA of Centropristis striata (black sea bass), 226 nucleotides long. RefSeq lists it as uncharacterized. Lineage: Eukaryota; Metazoa; Chordata; Actinopteri; Perciformes; Serranidae. The record is from RefSeq and is a predicted model, not a curated record. The transcript has 3 exons.
AGAAAGCUGGAGCAGCUCUGUCUUUUAGCUUAAAAUAGUUUCAAACCUCUGCACUUUUGUGAAAACUGUCAAGUAAAAGUAUGUAAAAAUGCUUGUUCAGCGUUUUGGUUGGACUAACAGACACUCCAAGGAGUCGCUGUUCAGUUUUCUGAGUCCAGAUAUGGUCUGCUCCUGGUAUCGGAAACAAGAUGGCGACGCAAGAUAGCGACGAGUAUAACGCUGAACU